This 420-nucleotide ribosomal RNA is filed under the name bacterium. RNAcentral describes it as "partial 16S ribosomal RNA". It matches the Rfam family "Bacterial small subunit ribosomal RNA", at positions 355 to 776 of the family's 1533-position model. The record is from RNAcentral.
UGGGGGAUAUUGCACAAUGGGCGAAAGCCUGAUGCAGCGACGCCGCGUGGGGGAUGAAGGCUUUCGGGUUGUAAACCUCUUUCGCUAUCGAACAAGGCCCGCUUAGGGUGGGUUGAGGGUAGGUGGAGAAGAAGCGCCGGCUAACUACGUGCCAGCAGCCGCGGUAAUACGUAGGGCGCGAGCGUUGUCCGGAAUUAUUGGGCGUAAAGGGCUUGUAGGCGGCUUGUUGCGCCUGCUGUGAAAACGCGGGGCUUAACUUCGCGCGUGCAGUGGGUACGGGCAGGCAUGAGUGUGGUAGGGGUGACUGGAAUUCCAGGUGUAGCGGUGGAAUGCGCAGAUAUCUGGAGGAACACCGAUGGCGAAGGCAGGUCACUGGGCCAUUACUGACGCUGAGGAGCGAAAGCAUGGGUGGCGAACAGG